RNAcentral lists this long non-coding RNA (507 nucleotides) under Mus musculus (house mouse). RNAcentral's name for it is "long non-coding RNA chr11:73088810-73089317". The record is from RNAcentral. Lineage: Eukaryota; Metazoa; Chordata; Mammalia; Rodentia; Muridae.
UCAGUCUUGUUGCUUGCGGAGUUCCUAAGUGAGCUGCCAUCCUGGGCUUUCCUACCCUACCAAGGGUGUGCUUUGUGAUCUAGACUGCCCCUUUCUUCCCCAUGGGCCAGGGAUAGAGAAUCCUUUAGUGGCUCUACCAAAUGUCCUUGGAUCAGGGGGAGCUGGGCUUUGAAGCAGUGAUGGGCAGGUGGGCUGGCUGCUGGUGCCACUGCAGCUUGUGACAGGUCUGUCCAGCAGCCUUUGGGUGUUCUACACUAUGAUGUGGUAGUAAGACAUCAGACCUGGAACUCUGCUUUUCUAGCUGCUAAUAAUGUGUUGUAUGUGUGUGUGUGUGUGUGGGGUGGUGGUGGUGAACUGUAAUCUCCUUGUGAAUAAUUGUAUAAGAUCUAGUCAAUAUCAGACCAAAGCUAACAGCGUGGAAAUGUUUGACGUGUCACUGAAUCGACACAGAACUGUGGCUAGAUACGUUUUCCAUGUGAAAAACAAAAUAAAAUUGAUUUUCAUGUA